GCGGGAGUAGCUCAGUGGUAGAGCGAAACGUUGCCAACGUUUAGGCCGAGGGUUCAAUUCCCUUCUCCCGCUCCA
This 75-nucleotide transfer RNA is filed under the name bacterium. Its description in RNAcentral is "tRNA-Gly". It matches the Rfam family "tRNA". From Rfam's summary of the family: Transfer RNA (tRNA) molecules are approximately 80 nucleotides in length. Their secondary structure includes four short double-helical elements and three loops (D, anti-codon, and T loops). The record is from RNAcentral. RNAcentral also lists the same sequence under 6 other names.